This 27-nucleotide small RNA is filed under the name Bombyx mori (domestic silkworm). Its description in RNAcentral is "ovarian small RNA-38091". Lineage: Eukaryota; Metazoa; Arthropoda; Insecta; Lepidoptera; Bombycidae. The record is from RNAcentral.
UUGUAUUGUGGACUGCAUGGUCGCCAG